UGAGAUCAUCUGCACAGAAAGCCAAAGAAGCUUUCUGACUUCCAGGGGGAGCCCAGCAUGUGCUGAAGUGAAGACCCAGAUUGAUGGAGAGGUUUUCCUGAGGAGCAGCUGGAAGAGCGUGAACUCUGCACAUCUCCUCCAGCUAUUCUAAGUCUCCUAGAAAGUUUCUCUCUUCUGUUUGGAAAUUCUGCUAAGCUCUGCUGCAGAUGAAGAGAGACAAAUGAACAGAACUGGUGUCAGUAUUCUGUGCUCCUGAGACACCUGAGCUCAUCUCCAAGAAUAAUUUCUAUCCUCAACUCAUACCAAAGGCAUAGCAUGGGUGCAGACUGUGAGGCUUUUCGAGAUCUGUCAGGAGGCGGACUUGAGGAGUAGCACAAUAGUGAGCAAUGCUGGGAAAAGACCAAUUACAAAAUCCUUCAUCUCCAUCAGCUUUAGUAGAAGUUAAUGGGCUAGGUGAGUAGUGGAGCAUCAGGUAUGUUUUCCAUGUGCCUUUUCUUCCUGUACACAUUCCUUACAGACUCUUCCUAUACUGGCCAGUAGAAAGGUCUAUCAGAGCCCCC
RNAcentral lists this long non-coding RNA (560 nucleotides) under Sus scrofa (pig). RNAcentral's name for it is "lncRNA (ENSSSCG00065042394.1)". Lineage: Eukaryota; Metazoa; Chordata; Mammalia; Artiodactyla; Suidae. The record is from RNAcentral.